Molecule: ribosomal RNA, 251 nt
Filed under: uncultured archaeon
Lineage: Archaea
Description: partial 16S ribosomal RNA
Rfam family: Archaeal small subunit ribosomal RNA
Source: RNAcentral
CCUACUGCUAUCGGGGUGGGACUAAAACAUGCGAGUCGAGCGUCUCCAAGCCACGGAGGAGACGCGGCAUACGGCUCAGUAACACGUGGCUAACCUAACUUCGGGACAGAGACAACCCCGGGAAACUGGGGCUAAUCCCUGAUAGACGAGAACUCCUGGAACGGAUUCUCGUCCAAAAGGCGCCUAAACCACGCUUUAAGCGCCGCCCAAGGAUGGGGCCCGCGUCCGAUCAGGUAGUUGGUGAGGCAAGG